Pseudoliparis swirei is the source of this 1473-nucleotide long non-coding RNA. RefSeq lists it as uncharacterized. The record is from RefSeq and is a predicted model, not a curated record. The transcript is spliced from 2 exons. NCBI's taxonomy places the organism in Eukaryota, Metazoa, Chordata, Actinopteri, Perciformes, Liparidae.
CAGGCAUCCACCUCAGGUAAACAAUAAACACAGCGUCGUCUUGUGACACCAAUCCCUUCCAUGGACAGCUCAGGUGAUUUCAUCAACCUUUAUAUUCAGCCUCCAGCAGGGAGCUCAAACUCAAUAGCUACAUGUUCAUUAUUCUGACUGACACAUAUAACCAAAGCUGCACCUUCCACACUGGUGUCCUCCAUUGUCUUCAACACAAUGCCAGUUGGAACAUUUACCAGAAACACUGCAGUGAAAGGUAAUCUAGCAUUGAAAGAUGUGUUUACUUUUAACAGCUUUUUUUGGCCUCAUACUGGGACCAGUCUGACCACUACGUCAUCAUUGAAUCUCUAAACCUCACUAGCAGAAUAGAUCCCUCUGGCACACCGUUACUACCCGCUCUGUGUCGAAGCGUAUCAGUUUCUAGGCUCAUGUUACAUCAUAGGAAGCUGUGGAGCACCCUUCGGGGGGGCGGACGUGGUCAGAGCAGUGACCCGGUGCUCGAGUCGCUGCCACACUGCAUGGAGAGGACAUCAUGGCCGGGAGGGGAGACGCACGUUUGCGAGAGCACUGGAGGGAUGUGCGAGACUGGAGCAUCGAGAAGAGACAACCCCACAGCGUAAGAGCGUCUCUGACGUCUGAAACGCUUCUGUCCUGAACUGGUCUUGUUUUCCAGCAACAACCUUUCUUACAGCUCUUGCACAUUGGACUGAACUAAGAGCUGCCUGUUGUCUCCCAUCAUGUGCAGUCAAUACUAAGUCAUUCAGAAGGUCUAUUAUGUUUUCUUUGUGCGAUUCCUCUGGGUGUUGUCCAGUAGCUCAAUCAAUGUCAGUGCUGCUUCACUUAUCUCUAAACUGUGCUGCAUCUCUUGUCUCAUCACUAUUACUGUAUAUGCGUUUGUAUUUUGUUUUACAAAAAGGAAAAGCAAGUUGAGUUAAAAUAACAAAAUAAAUACAAUAAAGUGUCAUCAAUAAAGUUUCAUUAGCACGUAAUGCUUUGAGCUUGUUAUUAUACAUUUGCUGAUAAAUUGUAUGGCCCUCUAUAUGUAAUGUGUUGGGCAUCAUGUAAUUAUGACACAGUACAGAACUUUGACACUAGUGUUUUUACCUGCAGUCCAGGUGAUCUGCAUCUCCUUUAUGUUCUUUGAUAACGUUAGGUUUAGUCAUUAAACUGACAUCCAAAUCUGUACUAACUACUGUAUUAAUUAGCUUCUUAAUUAAGUCAUUAACACAGGCGCGUUAUAUAACAGUCAUUAUGAAACACCAUCUAACCAUCCUGUGCGCCAAGUAAAUACAAGGACAAAUCUGCCUGUCGGCACAAACUCCUCUCCAGCUGUGUGUGAACUUUUCAUUUAUCUGGGAAGUAAAUAUCACAAAUAUAUGUAAUAACUAUCCACGAGGGAGCCUGACGGACAGACAUGAUGUCAUUCACAAGAUGAUGUGGCUACCACAUGUCUUUUUAAUAAACACAAAGCCAUUAAUGCCA